Branchiostoma belcheri (Belcher's lancelet) is the source of this 125-nucleotide long non-coding RNA. RefSeq lists it as uncharacterized. NCBI's taxonomy places the organism in Eukaryota, Metazoa, Chordata, Leptocardii, Amphioxiformes, Branchiostomatidae. The transcript is spliced from 3 exons. The record is from RefSeq and is a predicted model, not a curated record.
GAUGAUGAUGAGGAUGAAAAACAGACCCUGACAACACUGAGUACUGACAAGAGUGAAGAUGAUGAUAGCGAAGAUGAAAAGACCAUUACAGCAUCCGUUACUAACAAGACUGUAGCAGCAAACGA